RNAcentral lists this transfer RNA (65 nucleotides) under Chrysomela aeneicollis. Its description in RNAcentral is "tRNA-Arg". The record is from RNAcentral. Lineage: Eukaryota; Metazoa; Arthropoda; Insecta; Coleoptera; Chrysomelidae.
AAAUAAGAAGCAAAAAUUUUGCAUUUAGUUUCGACCUAAAAAUUUGAUUAUUAAAUCCUUAUUUU